CCGUGGCACCUACCGAUUGAAUGUUUCGGUGAAGAUUCCGGACUGUGGCUCGCGUGCUUCACGGCGCUCCUGCCGUGGGAAGUUAUCUAAACCUCAACAUUUAGAGGAAGGUGAAGUCGUAACAAGGUUUCCGUAGGUGAACCUGCGGAAGGAUCAUUA
Molecule: ribosomal RNA, 159 nt
Filed under: Ecklonia radicosa
Lineage: Eukaryota; Phaeophyceae; Laminariales; Lessoniaceae
Description: Eckloniopsis radicosa partial 18S ribosomal RNA
Rfam family: Eukaryotic small subunit ribosomal RNA
Source: RNAcentral